This 262-nucleotide ribosomal RNA is filed under the name uncultured bacterium. Its description in RNAcentral is "partial 16S ribosomal RNA". It matches the Rfam family "Bacterial small subunit ribosomal RNA", at positions 793 to 1055 of the family's 1533-position model. The record is from RNAcentral.
GUCCACGCUGUAAACGUUUGGCACUAGGUGUGGGCUCUAACCAACGGAGUCCGUGCCGCAGCUAACGCAUUAAGUGCCCCUCCUGGGGAGUACGGCCGCAAGGUUAAAACUCAAAGGAAUUGACGGGGGCCCGCACAAGCAGCGGAGCAUGUUGCUUAAUUCGAGGCAACGCGAAGAACCUUACCUGGGCUUGACAUGUAGGGAAAUCUCGUAGAGAUACGGGGUCCUUCGGGGCUCUACACAGGUGGUGCAUGGCUGUCGU